GGCUGCAACUCGCCUACAUGAAGUUGGAAUCGCUAGUAAUCGCGAAUCAGAAUGUCGCGGUGAAUACGUUCCCGGGUCUUGUACACACCGCCCGUCACACCACGAGAGUUUACAACACCCGAAGUCAGUGGCCUAACCGCAAGGAGGGAGCUGCCUAAGGUGGGGUAGAUGAUUGGGGUGAAGUCGUAACAAGGUAAC
RNAcentral lists this ribosomal RNA (198 nucleotides) under uncultured bacterium. RNAcentral describes it as "partial 16S ribosomal RNA". It matches the Rfam family "Bacterial small subunit ribosomal RNA", at positions 1303 to 1500 of the family's 1533-position model. The record is from RNAcentral.